RNAcentral lists this transfer RNA (63 nucleotides) under Niptus hololeucus. RNAcentral's name for it is "tRNA-Arg". Lineage: Eukaryota; Metazoa; Arthropoda; Insecta; Coleoptera; Ptinidae. The record is from RNAcentral.
AAAUAAGAAGCAAAUUAUUGCAACUAGUUUCGACCUAGUCCUUGAUCUUAAAAUCCUUAUUUA